RNA transcript from Xiphophorus hellerii (green swordtail), 2990 nucleotides. It is a transcript of the gene named retinol dehydrogenase 20, with no coding region annotated. NCBI's taxonomy places the organism in Eukaryota, Metazoa, Chordata, Actinopteri, Cyprinodontiformes, Poeciliidae. The record is from RefSeq and is a predicted model, not a curated record. The transcript has 6 exons.
ACAGUAUGAUUUGUUUUCUUAAUCUAUUUCGUAAACAUCAAUGUCAGUAGUUUUUUUAAAGUUAAGUAAUUUUAAAAGUUUUUGAAUGACAUACAGGUUCACAAAUCACAGCCUGCUGAGAAAAAGAUUUUCCAUAAGGAGUUCCUAUCAGAUGCGUCACAAGUUCUUGAUUCGGGCAGCAUAAGCACAACAAUGAGGUCCCUGAACAGCCAGUGGCCAAUUUACUGAACACAACAUUAAAAUCAACUGCUUAAUCAUUUUAGCAUAGAUCAACGUAUGGAGCCGAGAAAUUGUGUGAAAUGUAUCAAUAAUUCCUUUUGUGAUAAAAUUACAAACAAACAUUUCCCUUCAGAUAUUAUUAAUCAAGUCUUUAAAAUAGCUGAUAUUUCUUCAUAGUGCCAAAUAAUUGUUCAUCUUUGUAUGCAGCUUUGCUGUGUUUUUAGUCAAUUAAAGAUAAAACAUUUGACUUUUUCCUAAAGAGAUACAAACAAUACAUCAAGGAGUAACAGUGAACAUGUUGUGCAAAAUGUGAAAACAAUGUGAAGAAGUGUCAGAUGCAAGUCCACAGAAGUGAAGGAGUGAUUAUUAAAAAUAUGCUUUAAAAAAAUACUUAGAUUUGUGCUCACAUGCUGAGCAGCUUAGCCAUUUAACAUUUUGCUCUGAGUGGGAUAAUCGACCUCACAUCGGAGAUCAUGAAUAACUUUCAGAUCUGGAUAAAUUGAAUGUCUGAGUAAAAGGUCACUGACACAUAACCUACAACCCUGUGAAAGCUAUAAAUGUAAACAUUAAUGGUUCUUAUUGGCAUUUUAUUAAUCUGAACAAUGUAAGAUGUGGGGAAGAUAUUGCAGGAAGAAGGUCCUGGGUUCAAAUCUGGAGUCUUCCUAAUCAUGCAUAUUCCUCCCAUGAUUAUUAUGCAUUUGUACGUGAUUGUUAGGUUAAUUUCUCUCUUUAAUUGUCCUCUCCUUUGAAUUGGUGGACUGGCAAGUUUGGACUUAACAAAACUGUCCUUCAUUGAAGAAAGGCAUUAAUGUAAGAAAACUAUAAGAAAAACACGUGAAAUAAGAUUCUCUGAUCAGAUGAGACCAACCAAAAGUGGUUUAAAGAAAAACAUAUUCAUGUGUUUGAAUGAUCCAGUCAAAGUUCAGACAUCAAUCCAACCGGAUGGACAUGUGAAGAUUAUGCACACAUUCCCUCCAGUCUGACUGGAUUUUAGUGAUAUGAGCAAGAUGUGGAGAGCUGGAACAUUCCUGAGAAAAGCUUGUGAGGCACAGAGGACACAGGAAAAAUGUCUUCAAAGCAAAUUAAAAAUAUCAACUAAACAUAGCUGUUCUCAAAAAACUGACUGCACUAACUGAGCAAACAAAGUAUUCACACCUCAUCUCCCAUUGUUGUGAAAGGUAGCUUAUAUCAUAGAUUUGGUCCGACCAUUUAUACACAACAGGGGAAACAAAAGCAAACAUCAAUACUAACUAAGGAGCAAAUAUUCUAAUUAAACCUAAAACACCCCCUUUCUAACAGACACAUGGUUGGUCCUGCUGAGAUGGCAUUGUGCUUUCAAACCCCUCAGGCCUUGGCCAGAAUUUAUUUCUUGAACAUAAUAAGUGUUUUUGCUGUUUUAAGUCAACUGAAUCCAGUUAUUUGACCUUUGAAGCAUUUUUCUAGAUGUUUGCUUUGAUUGACCUUCUUAAUCUGUUUCAGUCUCACAGCUCAUGAUGGAGUUAUGAAUGUACCCGCAGUCAGGGCGUCAGACUAAAAGCCCUUCAUCAGUCACUCUUCUAAUCCUGCGCACCCAUGUUACAUAAAGUGGCCAUCCUAACCCACGUCACGCAGAAAAACGGCUAAACCCCCAGCUUUUUUCGGGGUUAUUAACUCCUGCUGUGGGAGCCGACUGAGCUGAGGCACCAUGAUCCUCAUCGUGGACCUGCUGCUGAUGAUCAUGGAUGUCACCUACUCCAUCCUGUGCGCCGUGGUGCGCACCUUCCUCCAUCCCAGGCUGAAGAGCAUCGACGGGGAGCUGUGUCUGAUCACGGGAGCCGGGGGGGUUCUGGGUCGCCUCUUCGUCCUGGAGUUCGCCAAAGAGGGGGCGCACCUCGUCCUGUGGGACUGCGACACGGCUGCCAACGAGCGGACCGCGCAACUGGCCCGGGAGCUGGGCGUGGAAGUGCGCACCUACACUGUGGACCUGUCCAAGCGCCAGAGCAUCUAUGACGCUGCGGAGAGGGUGAGAGCGGAGGUCGGGGAUGUCUCCAUCCUGGUCAACAAUGCGGGGGUGGUGGCCGGACGGAGGCUGCUGGAGUGUCCAGACGAGCUUCUGGAGAGGACUCUGCUGGUGAACUGCCAUGCGCUGUUUUGGAUGACAAAAGCCUUCCUGCCUCAGAUGAAAGCCAGAAACCACGGCCAUAUCGUCACUAUUGCUAGUGCUCUUGGACUGUUCACCACAGCAUGUGUGGAGGAUUACUGUGCCAGUAAGUUCGGUGCUGUUGGCUUCCAUGAGUCCCUGGCACACGAGCUGCGAGCAGAAAACCACGACGGCAUCAAAACCACAUUGGUGUGCCCCUACAUCGUAGACACAGGGAUGUUUUCAGGCUGUGAGAUCAGGAAAGAAAUUCGGAACCUGAUUCCUCCACUUGAGCCUCUCUAUACAGUCCAGCAAUCCAUGAAAGCCAUCCUGGGCGAGCAGGAAAUGAUCUGCAUUCCUCGCAUCAUGUACAUCGCCUUCAUCGCAAGAGCGUUGUUACCUUGGGAGGCCAACGUUGUGGCAUAUCGCUUCAUGGGAGGCGAUAAGUGCAUGAUGCCCUUCAUCAAGAACGCUGAGACAAAAACCUCAGGCGGCCACAUCCAGUCUUCCUGAGACUUUUCCAGUAAUGUCUUCCAGUGUUUUUCAAUGGGCUAAUGCAGACACCAAAGGCUUGUUUGUGCAUUUUAUAAUACACAGUGCCCCUCAAAAAAUUAAAAAUGUUUUGAGUAAAUGUUUUUGUCAUGGAGAAAAA